GCGGACGGGUGAGUAACGCGUAGGAAUCUACCUGGUAGUGGGGGACAACUUGGGGAAACUCAAGCUAAUACCGCAUACGCCCUAAGGGGGAAAGCGGGGGACCUUCGGGCCUCGCGCUAUCGGAUGAGCCUGCGUAGGAUUAGCUAGUUGGUGGGGUAAAGGCCCACCAAGGCGACGAUCCUUAGCUGGUCUGAGAGGAUGAUCAGCCACACUGGAACUGAGACACGGUCCAGACUCCUACGGGAGGCAGCAGUGGGGAAUAUUGCGCAAUGGGCGAAAGCCUGACGCAGCCAUGCCGCGUGUGUGAAGAAGGCCUUAGGAUUGUAAAGCACUUUCAAUUGGGAAGAAAAGUUUGUCGUUAAUAGCGCCAAGCUCUGACAUUACCUUUAGAAGAAGCACCGGCUAACUCCGUGCCAGCAGCCGCGGUAAUACGGAGGGUGCGAGCGUUAAUCGGAAUUACUGGGCGUAAAGCGCGCGUAGGCGGUUUGUUAAGUCAGCUGUGAAAGCCCCGGGCUCAACCUGGGAACUGCAGUUGAUACUGGCCGACUAGAGUACGAGAGAGGGAGGUAGAAUUCCAUGUGUAGCGGUGAAAUGCGUAGAUAUAUGGAGGAAUACCAGUGGCGAAGGCGGCCUCCUGGCUCGAUACUGACGCUGAGGUGCGAAAGCGUGGGGAUCAAACAGGAUUAGAUACCCUGGUAGUA
This 701-nucleotide ribosomal RNA is filed under the name uncultured bacterium. RNAcentral's name for it is "bacterial SSU rRNA". It matches the Rfam family "Bacterial small subunit ribosomal RNA", at positions 98 to 795 of the family's 1533-position model. The record is from RNAcentral.